UGAGGAAUAUUGGUCAAUGGACGCAAGUCUGAACCAGCCAAGUAGCGUGCAGGAUGACGGCCCUAUGGGUUGUAAACUGCUUUUAUAUGGGGAUAAAGUGGGGAACGUGUUCCCUUUUGCAGGAACCAUAUGAAUAAGGACCGGCUAAUUCCGUGCCAGCAGCCGCGGUAAUACGGAAGGUUCGGGCGUUAUCCGGAGUUAUUGGGUUUAAAGGGAGCGUAGGCCGUUUGGUAAGCGUGUUGUGAAAUGUAGGAGCUCAACUUCUAGAUUGCAGCGCGAACUGUCAGACUUGAGUGCGCACAACGUAGGCGGAAUUCAUGGUGUAGCGGUGAAAUGCUUAGAUAUCAUGAAGAACUCCGAUUGCGAAGGCAGCUUACGGGAGCGCAACUGACGCUGAAGCUCGAAGGUGCGGGUAUCGAACAGG
This 424-nucleotide ribosomal RNA is filed under the name Verrucomicrobiota bacterium. RNAcentral's name for it is "Verrucomicrobia bacterium partial 16S ribosomal RNA". It matches the Rfam family "Bacterial small subunit ribosomal RNA", at positions 355 to 776 of the family's 1533-position model. Lineage: Bacteria; Pseudomonadati; Verrucomicrobiota. The record is from RNAcentral.